AGAGUUUGAUCCUGGCUCAGAUUGAACGCUGGCGGCAGGCUUAACACAUGCAAGUCGAGCGGGGAAAGGUAGCUUGCUACUGGACCUAGCGGCGGACGGGUGAGUAAUACUUAGGAAUCUGCCUAUUAGUGGGGGACAACGUUCCGAAAGGAGCGCUAAUACCGCAUACGCCCUACGGGGGAAAGCAGGGGAUCACUUGUGACCUUGCGCUAAUAGAUGAGCCUAAGUCGGAUUAGCUAGUUGGUGGGGUAAAGGCCUACCAAGGCGACGAUCUGUAGCGGGUCUGAGAGGAUGAUCCGCCACACUGGGACUGAGACACGGCCCAGACUCCUACGGGAGGCAGCA
RNAcentral lists this ribosomal RNA (345 nucleotides) under uncultured Moraxellaceae bacterium. RNAcentral describes it as "bacterial SSU rRNA". It matches the Rfam family "Bacterial small subunit ribosomal RNA", at positions 8 to 353 of the family's 1533-position model. Lineage: Bacteria; Pseudomonadati; Pseudomonadota; Gammaproteobacteria; Moraxellales; Moraxellaceae. The record is from RNAcentral.